Molecule: ribosomal RNA, 274 nt
Filed under: uncultured bacterium
Lineage: Bacteria
Description: partial 16S ribosomal RNA
Rfam family: Bacterial small subunit ribosomal RNA
Source: RNAcentral
AUACAGAGGGUGCAAGCGUUAUUCGGAAUUACUGGGCGUAAAGCGCGCGUAGGCGGAUGAUUAAGUCAGUUGUGAAAGCCCUGGGCUCAACCUAGGAACUGCAUCUGAUACUGGUCAUCUAGAGUUUAAGAGAGGGAAGUGGAAUUCCAGGUGUAGCAGUGAAAUGCGUAGAUAUCUGGAGGAACAUCAGUGGCGAAGGCGACUUCCUGGCUUAGAACUGACGCUGAGGUGCGAAAGCGUGGGUAGCGAACGGAAUUAGAAACCCCAGUAGUCC